CAAGAUAAUAACCAAAAACUGCAACAUUUCCUUAAAAUUACUAAUUCUGGGGCAGCAACCCAACAACAGGGUGUCUGUUUUGUCUGAAAAUAUCAGGGCAGAUAGAUCUUGACCUGAUAAACAAUUUAUCCCUUGUCAAAUUUGCUCUAAAUACUUUGGUUUCAGAGAUAUAAGCCAAAAUCUACAUUUUACCCCUAUGUUCUAUUUUUAGCCAUGGCGGCCAUUUUGGUUGGUUGGCAGGAUCACGCCACACAUUUUUUAAACUAGAUACCCUAAUGAUGAUUUUAGCCAAGUUUGGAUUAAUUUGGCCCAAUAGUUUCAGAGAAGAAGAUUUUUGUAAAAGAUAACUAAGAUUUACG
RNAcentral lists this long non-coding RNA (359 nucleotides) under Mytilus galloprovincialis (Mediterranean mussel). The record is from RNAcentral. Lineage: Eukaryota; Metazoa; Mollusca; Bivalvia; Mytilida; Mytilidae.